This 257-nucleotide ribosomal RNA is filed under the name uncultured bacterium. RNAcentral's name for it is "partial 16S ribosomal RNA". It matches the Rfam family "Bacterial small subunit ribosomal RNA", at positions 524 to 776 of the family's 1533-position model. The record is from RNAcentral.
UACGUAGGGUGCAGGCGUUAAUCGGAAUUACUGGGCGUAAAGCGUGCGCAGGCGGUCUUUUUAAGUCAGAUGUGAAAUCCCCGGGCUUAACCUGGGAACUGCGUUUUGAAAACUGGAAGGCUAGAGUGUGGCAGAGGGGGGGUGGAAUUCCACGUGUAGCAGUGAAAUGCGUAGAUAUGUGGAGGAACACCGAUGGCGAAGGCAGCCCCCUGGGCUAACACUGACGCUCAUGCACGAAAGCGUGGGGAGCAAACAGG